CAUGUUUGCUUCCCCUUCUGCCGUUAUUGCAAAUUCCCUGAGACCUCCCCAGCCAUGCAGAACUGUUAGUCAAUUAAGCCUCAUUCCAUUAUAAAUUGCCCAGUUUCAGGCAGUUCUUCACAGCAGCAUGAAAAGGGACUAAUACAAUACUCUUAUAUGAUGAAAGUAGUUGAAACAGCAAGUUCUCUCCUUUCCGAAUAUAUGUCCUGAGACUAAACUUCUUUGAUUUCUCCAUGGAGGGGAUAGGACAUUGGGCCGAUCUCAUUGCUCCCAGCCUAGCAGGCAUCAGAACCUUAGAAGCCAUGAUUUCACUCAGUGAGUCACUGUCACAUUGGCACAUCCUAUUCCCUGUUGAUGGUGCCACCUUUUACACAAAGGCACUCAGCACAUCCUGCACUGGCAAUGAGAUGAGUCUCCCUGGCUGCCCCUUCCUCUAUGCGACCUCACAAUGAUUGCAUUGGAAGGAUUAUGACAGCAACUUCCUGCAGUCCCAUGGUGCCCAACAAAUUGAGGGUGACUCAGUGCCUCAGACAAGGAGGUAAAUGUUUCUUUUCAAUGAUUAUAAUCGUCACUCUUUCCUGUCCCCUCCUCCCCACAGUUGCUGAUACUAUAUUCCAUUAUGUUUAUAAAAAUAUUAAGGGACAUUAGUAUAAGGUGAUUAGGAUAAUAUUUAGUUACUAUUAUAAUAUAUUCUGUUUGAAAUACUAUAACUUAAGAUGUUCCAGACAUUGCACCACAGACUUUAUACAUUGUGGUGGACAAAACAUGGCCAGAAAUUUAUCAACAUUUCUGCAAUUCAGAGGAUACUGAGGCACUGUGAGGUUCACUGAAAGCUGGACUGUGAGGAAGAUUCGGGCCGUCGGACUCCAGACCCCAAGCUCUAACAUACUAUAUGGAGAAAUUAAGGCAUUGAAAAGUCACUUGCCCCAGAUGACACAGCUAGUGGACAGUCGAGGAAAUGUGGGCUCUGGAGUUGAAUCACGAUCUAGAUUCAAAUCUUGGUCCUGCCAUUUGCUGGAGGGACAUGUUUAGGAGGGCAUCCCAGGAGAAGGCAGAGUCCAGGAGGCGGAUGUUGGGAAGCAAAUCCUGAACUCAUCAAGUCCCAUAGCCCCUUUGUCUAUGGACCUUCUGCCAGCAUCUUCUGUAAGGUUCUAGGUAAGAGAAAGGACUCCCCUUUUCUUGGAGUGCAGAGGCUGGAAGUUAAGAGGUAUAUUCGGCAGAGGCCAGACAGGUGAGUGAAAAUGACAUGUUUAAAGAACUGAAAGAAAGUAACUAUGGCUGAAACAUGACAGGAGAGAGGGGAUGCGGAGAGAAGAGAUUGGAGAGGUAAAUGUAGGUCCCAUAUGCAGGGUCUUCAAAGCAAAGGACACUGAGAACCCAUUGCAAGGUUUUGAGCAGAAGGUGGCAUAAUCAGAUUUGGGUUUUAGAAAGACUACUCUGGCUGCCUUGUGGGGAAGAAAAAAAUGUAUGUAUGGAAUGGGAUAGAGGAGGGGUACUUAAGUUUUAUUAUGUCUGAUGGCACAAUAAUUGAUCCAUCAUCUUGGGUUUAACCCAAGGGUAGUUGGGGAGGUAGGAGAGCAGGAGAAUGUAAUGUCAAAUAUGGCCAUCACUUACUGGCAUUGAGAAAUAUGAGGCAUAGUGCUCAAUAGAUAUUACAUGUGUUUCUUGUGGUGGGCCAACAGUCCCCACCUCCUGCUAUUCACACUCUUAUAUACUCCACUCUUUUUGAGGGUGGACUGGAUCUAGUGACUUCUUUCUAGUGAACAGAAUACAUCAAAAAUAAUGAGAUGUCGCUUCCACACUUGCGUUUAAAAAGACGGUGGCUUCCACCUUCUGGCAUUCUCUCUGUUGCUGUCACUUACUUGGUCUGAUGAAGCUCUCUAUGGAGAGGCCCACAUAGCAAGGAAUUGAGGGCAGCCUCCAGUGAUCAGCCAGAGACUACUGAAGGUUUCAGUCCAACAACCUAUGAGGAACUGAAUCCUGCCAGCAAUCAAUGACUGAGCCAGGAAAUGGAUCCAGCCCCAGUUGAGAGGACUAUGGCUCUAGCUGGCACCUUCCCUGUAGCCUGGGCAAGACCCUGAAACAGGAUUCAGGUAAGCUGUACCUGGCUUCCUGACCCACAGAAACUGAGAGAUCGGAAAUACGUGUUGUUUUAGGAUGCUAAGUUUUAGGGUAAUUUGUUACACAGCAACAUAGAACUAAGGCACUACUAUAUGAUGUCACAGAAGGCAAGAGAGGUACAGUAUUGAGAAGAGAAAGUGACUAGCAUUGUCACAUGUGACAGGGAGAUCAAAGAUAACCCAGGAUGGUAAGGAACGAGAAAGCAUUGAGUCUGGCAAGUAGGCAGGUAGCAUGAUUUGCAAGGAAGCAGUGAGAGUACGCUAGGUGGGCUGGAGUAGAAAAGGCUUGCCUUGGCAGGGAGCACCUGUUUAUUUGUCAAGGAUGUCCUGGCCAGCCUGUCCUCCUAGAGACCCCACAUUAUGCCCCAUGCUUCAGGGAGGGGCUGCAUUUACUCAGGAGUAGACUACUUAGAGAAGCCAAGCUCACAGGACCUCAAGACCACACAGGAAGCAACAGGCACCGGGGAUUCAAAGGAAAGUAACUUAUAGAUGGCCCCUUCCCUGGGGAAGUUUACCACCCUUUGGGGACAGAUCACCAAAAUCCUCUUCCUUGCUGGCACCCAUUGAGCACUUCCUGUGAACCAGGCUCCGUGCUAAGCCCUGUACCUGGGAUAUCUUAUUUAAGCCUCAGAACUCUUAUCUCCAGAGUAAUGGUUCACCUAUCUCUUGCCCUGGGAGGCUGACACCUGUAGACUGCAUCUCACGCUCUCCUUGGCCAGCUAGCUUCAAGUUGAGUUCAGCUAGAAAACAACCCUGACAAGGAAAUGAGAAGUUUCUUCAAUCAACCCUUAUUUUUCUUUGCUGUGAGGACCAGGAAGGAACCAAUCUGUUUAAAAACUGUUGCCCGCUGGUGGCUCGUUGCCAGGUCUGAGAUAACACUGGUGGUCCCUCUGAGGGCUGAGGACGCAUUCCCCGGGUACUGCAAUCAGAGCAGACGCAUGUGCAGCUGUGGAUGGAGGGAGCUGACGUGUUCUCUCCGGGAGCAGAGGAGCAAAUGUCACGAGAAAAGCCCUUGAAAAUGGUUCUCAUCCCUUUCUCCAUCGCAGACAACCCAGAAUAAACUGUUCUGAAAUGUUGACGUUUAAUAAUAUUAAUAUUAGUAAUGGCUGGAAAGGGCUUCUGGUAAUGAGAUUCCAGGAUAAAUAGGUCACUGGGUUUUCAUUGCUUAUCAAUGAAGUUCCCAAAAAGAUCUUUUUUAAGGAAAUAGGCUCAUGUAAACUUUUUUUUUUUUAAAAAAAGGAAGGAAAUACAUUGUCUUUAUAAUAAGG
This 3388-nucleotide long non-coding RNA is filed under the name Homo sapiens (human). RNAcentral describes it as "HSALNT0312232". The record is from RNAcentral. Lineage: Eukaryota; Metazoa; Chordata; Mammalia; Primates; Hominidae.